Long non-coding RNA from Nicotiana tabacum (common tobacco), 1087 nucleotides. RefSeq lists it as uncharacterized. Lineage: Eukaryota; Viridiplantae; Streptophyta; Magnoliopsida; Solanales; Solanaceae. The record is from RefSeq and is a predicted model, not a curated record.
UCGAACAUUCAUGAAUCUUCAGAAAGCUAGAAAUCCUAAUGCAUAGACAUCUAGUGAUAGUCUGGGUACAUCUAUAGUCGUACGCAUGCAUCUGGUUUUGAGAGAGACUUCUCCUGAAUGGUCAAAAUUAAAGAGAACAUAUUAAUAGUAUCAUUGUAGGAUCAAAAAUUGUAUUCCUCAGGUUGUAUGUUUGUGUGCGCGUGCGCGCUCGUGUGUGUGUGUUCUUUUCUUGUUUUUGGGGUGGGGUACAAUGCAGACAUGCAUGUUGACUUAGUUCUGUAUUUUACUGUGUAUUUGCAUAAACUGAAGAAAUAAGCCAAUGAAAAGGGUGUGAGAUAUUGCCAGUUUUUGGAUGUCUAAAGCAGUGAGCAUCUAAUCAAGGUUGUAGAUUGGUUACAUCUAAUUGACAAGAUUGUAGCGGUGGUGAUACCUUACCUCUUCAUUAGGACAUAGUCUACUGGUUGUGAGAGACAAGCGGACUGGUAAGACCAAGGGAUAUGGAUUUGUGAGUUUUUCCAACCCGUUAGACGGCUGCGGCACUUGAAGAAAUGAAUGUUACAUGAUCAGCUUUUACCUUCUUGAAGACCCAUCACUCAUAAGUGAUAGGCGUUGUCAAGGGCGGAUCUAUGUAGUGUAGAGGGGUUGUCACGCCACCCGGACGCUCAGGGAAGGCUGUGGAAACCGUCCGAUUAUACUUCGUAAGAGCAAGUAGCAAACCAUGGAUUGGUGGAAGGGAAGAAACUAGUUGUUGUUUUGGAAACUUGGGUUUUACAAGAUAUCUGAAGUUACAUACUUUCAUUAAUAUAUCGGUAUGAUCGAUAAGUGGAAGUCAUAAAAAAGAAAUCUUUCUCCUCGCACCUCAGAUCAAGAGGAAGGGUUGCUUUCUCUCGCCCUACUUCUAAAGAUAGAUAGAAAAGGUUGGAGAGAAUGACUUUCUGAAAUUCUCUCCUUUCUAAAGAAGCCUAUCGCCACGCCGACCAUCAAAUACGAGAUUGGGCCCCUUCUCAAAGAUUUGAUGGAAUGGCCUCAAACCGAACCGAAAAACCGCACCAAACCGAAAAAUCAAACCAAACCGAUUAAAAAAUCC